ACAUUUAGUACAGUGCCUGGCAUAUAAUAAGCACUUUACAAAUACCACUGAAAUAAAAAUUCUUGCCUGCCACUGAAAGUUUACCUACUAUGGUGAAUUUUAUAUAACGCCACAAGUGCCACCAUUACUGGAUCAGACCAAUGGGGCUCCCAACCCAAGACUCUGACAUUUUUGGAGGAACUUUGUAAUAUCUAUGCUCAGUGACAGGAAUGCAGUAUUUCUAUUUCCUCCACACCCUUAACUUUUCCUUCUCCAGUGUCACCACAAAGUUUUUUUUCCACUGGCUACAUGGACUGCAAGAAAUGCUCCUCUUAGCUCCCGGUCUUGCUUCGAGUUACAACCAACACUUUUUUGCCUCACCAAACCCUUUUGGAACUGAAGGCGUCUUUUCCAGAGAGGCCCAAGGUCCAGUUUAACUAAAUCGUGCAGGAAACGACAUCUACGGAAACAGUAGCUGAAAAGUAACCAGCCAUCACUCGUGCUCUCUACUCACAAGGAUGACUAGUAGAGGAAGAAAAAAUGCUUGUGGUCCAGAUGUUAUAAAGAACUCCUCUUAACAAAACAUAAGGAAACCCCUUCCUUUAUAGCAAGAGGUUGAGGGGGAGGCAAAGAGAACAUGAUCCACUGGUCAGCCUCAUCUUCUCCUGUGGCCUCCCUACCAAUCAACGAGGGGAGCUGGACCCCAGAAAGGAGAUGGGCGCAGCUCUGUGGGGCUCCCUAGCACCCAGAGGGAGGUCUUGGCUUCUUGGUACAAGACUUUCGGAGGAACAAAAAGGAAGCUGGGUCACAAAUGGGGAAAUCAGCUGAUGGGUGGAAUUUUUCACUAGGGAUUCUAGUAGAAGAAACAUUGGCAAUCUCAACCCUUCCCCAUAAGUUUUUCCUGAUUUUACAAUGUGGCCUAGCUAAGAUCUGGCUCUCUCUGGAAACAUGACUAGGAUUAUCAAGGUAACCAAGGACAAGAAGGUGAAGACAGUAACCUCAGAGACAAGGUCCCAUAUGGGGAAAAGGACCAGGGUCCACAAAGUCGGGACACUUGCUGCUCCUCACAAAUAUCAUCAAUCACAUUACCUGAAACAGAAUCGCCACUGUCAUGCACAAGACUAAAGAUUUGAAUUUAGGAGUUUCAAACCUGGUGUCGAGUGCUCAGAGACAGACUAGGAGAAAUAUACAUUGCUCUCCAUGCACUGUUUUUUUUUCCACUGUGAGUUUGGAGCCAGAUAAGGAUUUUCCCAGAAGGUCAGCACAAUAUCAGCAUGGCCACAAGUGACUAGAGCUCAGGGGAUGUUUGGAGCCUUUCCCUUCAGGGGGCAGGCACACUGGGUGACAAGCACAGGACAUUUAAGCCUUGGGUUAGGGGCUUAUGACCUUCCCUCGAUUUGAAUCAUCACUGCAGAGCUAAGGAACAACUGGGGAAUGUGGCCCAGGAAACUACUACACCCAUGAAUGAGGAGGAGACAAAGCUGAAACAAAUACACUCAGGGCUCCAGAGCUGAAGGAACUCCAACAGAUAUUUUAGCAAAGUGAAAGCCAGUAACAAAGUUAAAGUUCCCGGAAACAUCAACCAGGCUGAUUGGCUUCUGCCUAUGGGAAUGAGUGCCAGCUAGAAUCUGGAGUGGGCUGCAGAAAGGAUAACUCUAGGGAAACUAACCUUGUUUGGUUUUGGAGAGCUUUGUAUGAAUAUACAGUGAUUACUAUUAAGCCAUCCUUAAUAUUUUACUGUGGAGUGUUAAUUACGAAUUUAUGGACCAUAAUGAUUUGUCAUUUACAGUGUUCCACCAUUACAGUGUUGGGUAUCUAC
Long non-coding RNA from Ornithorhynchus anatinus (platypus), 1798 nucleotides. RefSeq lists it as uncharacterized. The record is from RefSeq and is a predicted model, not a curated record. Lineage: Eukaryota; Metazoa; Chordata; Mammalia; Monotremata; Ornithorhynchidae. The transcript is spliced from 3 exons.